RNAcentral lists this ribosomal RNA (500 nucleotides) under uncultured Glomeromycotina. RNAcentral's name for it is "partial small subunit ribosomal RNA". It matches the Rfam family "Eukaryotic small subunit ribosomal RNA", at positions 591 to 1092 of the family's 1831-position model. Lineage: Eukaryota; Fungi; Glomeromycota. The record is from RNAcentral.
CCAAUAGCGUAUAUUAAAGUUGUUGCAGUUAAAAAGCUCGUAGUUGAACCUUAGGCCCGUGCGGGUGGUCCGUCCUCAGGGCGAGCACUGCUCCGUCGCGGGUCUCACCUUCUGGCGAGCGUGGAUGCCAUUUAUUUGGUGUCCGCGGGAACCAGGACCUUUACCUUGAAAAAAUUAGAGUGCUCAAAGCGGGCUCCGACGCUUGAAUACAUUAGCAUGGAAUAAUGAAAUAGGACGAUGGUUCUAUUUUGUUGGUUUCCGGGACCGUCGUAAUGAUUAAUAGGGAUAGUUGGGGGCAUUCGUAUUCAAUUGUCAGAGGUGAAGUUCUUGGAUUUAUUGAAGACGAACUACUGCGAAAGCAUUUGCCAAGGAUGUUUUCAUUAAUCAAGAACGAAAGUUGGGGGAUCGAAGACGAUCAGAUACCGUCGUAGUCUCAACCAUAAACUAUGCCGACUGGGAAUCGGGCGAUGUUACUUUUCUGACUCGCUCGGCGCCCCGAG